GGAGCUGUGGCCGAGUGGCUGAAGGCACCGCUUUGCUAAAGCGGCAUACCUGUUAAAGGGUAUCGAGGGUUCGAAUCCCUCCGGCUCCGCCA
RNAcentral lists this transfer RNA (92 nucleotides) under Tardiphaga alba. RNAcentral's name for it is "Rhodopseudomonas sp. SK50-23 tRNA-Ser". It matches the Rfam family "tRNA". Rfam says of the family: Transfer RNA (tRNA) molecules are approximately 80 nucleotides in length. RNAcentral also lists the same sequence under 7 other names. Lineage: Bacteria; Pseudomonadati; Pseudomonadota; Alphaproteobacteria; Hyphomicrobiales; Nitrobacteraceae. The record is from RNAcentral.